Molecule: unclassified non-coding RNA, 126 nt
Filed under: Pseudomonas putida
Lineage: Bacteria; Pseudomonadati; Pseudomonadota; Gammaproteobacteria; Pseudomonadales; Pseudomonadaceae
Source: RNAcentral
AGGAGCCGUAUGCGGUAGUUCCGCACGUACGGAUCUGUGCGGGGGGCUGCGAAUCUUCUGCUUGAGUGUUUCGGUGUUCAUGGUCAGUCCUGAUUGGGGUAAGGGACUGCACCACUUCACCGCAGC